This is a long non-coding RNA of Perca flavescens (yellow perch), 1026 nucleotides long. RefSeq lists it as uncharacterized. Lineage: Eukaryota; Metazoa; Chordata; Actinopteri; Perciformes; Percidae. The record is from RefSeq and is a predicted model, not a curated record. The transcript has 7 exons.
CGAGAUGACGUUUCACAGGGAACACAAGAACACAAGUCAAUAGAAGAACACAGAUUGAGAAACGCCCACAGCCUCAGUUUUCCUGCUGAGUCUUGUCUAGUUUUGCUUCCUGUCUUGUGUUUUCCAGCCAGUCUGAUUGUUCUGCCCCGCCCUGAUGUGUUUCACCUAUUGGCUCACCUGUCCUUUGUUUGCUCGUUACCUCGUUUUCAGGUCAUUAUUUGUGUUCUGUAUCCUGAGAUUCUUUGCCUGCUGUUCUCUGGACACCUUUGUUGAUGAAGGAAGAAUUAAACCAAGCUUCUGUAAAUCUACAAACUGCCAGAAAAUCUGGCUGCAGGUUGGUUUUUGUCGAGUACCAGAAAUGCUGACGAACUGAAGGUUGGCGAGCCUUGCCCAGCAGAUCUGUGGACAAUAUUGGAUAUGGUGUGGCCAGCCAUAAAGACCUGCAACAGAGGGAUUCACUCUGACACAGAUAAGACACGCACCAACCUACCCAGAGGGCCGUGUCCUGCGUCAGGGCUGUAGUGGAAGAGGGGUCUGUUGGAGAGGAAGGGUGGAGACAUCACUGGAUCAGUCGGAGCAGAUCAGGGAUCUCGGCACCCAACUGUGUGAUGUCCGGGAGACCAACGAUUUCUUCCAGUGUGAGUAAAUUCCUCAGAGCAGAAGGUUAGUAUUCAGCGUAAGCUGACAUCUACCCUACAGGAGCUGCAGGAGAAAAACAAACAGUGUGAGCUCCUCAAAGGAGAACUUGCAAUCAAAAAAGCUCAAUUGCAGACUUGCAGGAGGAGGUGGUUGUGCUUCAGUUACCUGAAGUCAAAGUCUCCCAUAACAUGGGACAUGUGGAGGGAAGCUCAUACCCUGGCACGUCUCAUGGAAGUGAUGAUCACAUUAAUUAGAGCAGUAUGAUCAAAAUAUAGAGGGGUGUGAUCCUUUCAGUUUAUGGUGUGAGAAUUGCCAGAUGCAGUAUAGUUAUAAUAGUUUUUAGUUAGAAUUGAGCAACACUCCAGGUUCUAACAGGUCUCUUUGGUU